This 298-nucleotide small nuclear RNA is filed under the name Peromyscus maniculatus bairdii (prairie deer mouse). Its description in RNAcentral is "7SK RNA (ENSPEMG00000003883.2)". It matches the Rfam family "7SK RNA". Rfam says of the family: 7SK was discovered as an abundant small nuclear RNA in the mid-70s but a possible function has only recently been suggested. Lineage: Eukaryota; Metazoa; Chordata; Mammalia; Rodentia; Cricetidae. The record is from RNAcentral.
GCACGAAGAUGCUCUGGCUCUGCUGCACCCAUUGGUCAGGGGUUGGUUUGGGUGAUCUGGCUGGCUAGGCAGGUGUUCCUUGGCCUCUCUUCACUCCACAUAAACCCUUCCUGAAGCCAGUGAUCAAAGAAGAGACAGAGAGGAACAUCCUUUGGUGAAGAGUAAGUGAAUAGCUCUGCUUCCCUACUAUAACCUCCAAACAAGCUGGCAAGAUCUAUUUGCAGGAGAAUGGGGCUAAGUUUUCAGGAACCUAGGCAUAUCUAAAUGAGGUACUUCACAUGGCAGUGCGCCUUUAAAU